UAGAUGAACUGAUGAUGUCUACUGAGCAGUAGACGAAACGUCUUCAAUAAAUAGAUGAAGUAGCUGAAUUCUUUGUCUCUUUUUUCACCCACUUGACCGAUAAAACCCUACACUUACGAGUGCUCCUUUGUUAUAUUGGAAUUGACGGUCGUACUCCUUUAUGAUGUCUUCUGUUACAGAGGGUUUUUACGCUAAUACCAGGCGCAUCCAUGGGGAACUACCAGUGAAAAAGCUUAAGAGAUGGACCAAUCUGACCGAAAAACUAGCUACAGCUGAAGCAAGAAGAACUUUCCUUCUAGAGUGCAGGAGAACCAAGAAAAUUCCUAGAUUUAUCACAGACACCACUUCUAACAUACUUACUACUACCACAGGAACCCACGAUCACACACUCCAACGCAGGAGCCAGGCUCUUAAUAGACAGAGGGUUUUUACGCUAAUACCAGGCGCAUCCAUGGGGAACUACCAGUGAAAAAGCUUAAGAGAUGGACCAAUCUGACCGAAAAACUAGCUACAGCUGAAGCAAGAAGAACUUUCCUUCUAGAGUGCAGGAGAACCAAGAAAAUUCCUAGAUUUAUCACAGACACCACUUCUAACAUACUUACUACUACCACAGGAACCCACGAUCACACACUCCAACGCAGGAGCCAGGCUCUUAAUAGACAGAGGGUUUUUACGCUAAUACCAGGCGCAUCCAUGGGGAACUACCAGUGAAAAAGCUUAAGAGAUGGACCAAUCUGACCGAAAAACUAGCUACAGCUGAAGCAAGAAGAACUUUCCUUCUAGAGUGCAGGAGAACCAAGAAAAUUCCUAGAUUUAUCACAGACACCACUUCUAACAUACUUACUACUACCACAGGAACCCACGAUCACACACUCCAACGCAGGAGCCAGGCUCUUAAUAGACAGGUGAGGGCACGAUUACUUAAUUUCCAUAUAUCGAAGGUUCAUUCAGAUAUUAAAUUCAUUUUUGGUCAAAUAAAUAAUGUCACUGAUUUCUUAGAUCACACUUU
Molecule: RNA transcript, 1009 nt
Organism: Diabrotica virgifera virgifera (western corn rootworm)
Lineage: Eukaryota; Metazoa; Arthropoda; Insecta; Coleoptera; Chrysomelidae
Exons: 3
Source: RefSeq, a predicted model, not a curated record